AACGCAUAUGGCACCUUUUGGCGCAUGCCGGAAGGUAUGCCUGUUUGAGAAUCAUUUCCAUCCAUCUGAUUGGUGCACACCGUCAGGACAUGGGCGUUCAUCACUGACGCCCCGAAUGCACGUGCGCGGUCGUGAUAACGUUGUUGAUCGACCGGUUGCACCACCCUUGUCGAUGAUCUCAAAUCAGGCAGGACUACCCGCUGAACUUAA
This 210-nucleotide unclassified non-coding RNA is filed under the name uncultured fungus. Its description in RNAcentral is "sequence contains ITS2". Lineage: Eukaryota; Fungi. The record is from RNAcentral.